GCCGGGCAUGGUGGCUCAUGCCUGUAAUCCAGUACUUUGGAGGCCAAGGCAGGUGGAUCACCUGAGGUCGGGAGUUCAAGAACAGCCUGACCAACAUGGUGAAACCCUGGCUUUA
This 115-nucleotide small RNA is filed under the name Callithrix jacchus (white-tufted-ear marmoset). Its description in RNAcentral is "Metazoan signal recognition particle RNA (ENSCJAG00000083816.1)". The record is from Rfam by way of RNAcentral. Lineage: Eukaryota; Metazoa; Chordata; Mammalia; Primates; Cebidae.